GACGAACGCUGGCGGCGUGCCUAAUACAUGCAAGUAGAACGCUGAAGGAGGAGCUUGCUUCUCCGGAUGAGUUGCGAACGGGUGAGUAACGCGUAGGUAACCUGCCUGGUAGCGGGGGAUAACUAUUGGAAACGAUAGCUAAUACCGCAUAAUAGUAGAUGUUGCAUGACAUUUGCUUAAAAGGUGCAAUUGCAUCACUACCAGAUGGACCUGCGUUGUAUUAGCUAGUUGGUGGGGUAACGGCUCACCAAGGCAACGAUACAUAGCCGACCUGAGAGGGUGAUCGGCCACACUGGGACUGAGACACGGCCCAGACUCCUACGGGAGGCAGCAGUAGGGAAUCUUCGGCAAUGGGGGCAACCCUGACCGAGCAACGCCGCGUGAGUGAAGAAGGUUUUCGGAUCGUAAAGCCCUGUUGUAAGAGAAGAACGAGUGUGAGAGUGGAAAGUUCACACUGUGACGGUAUCUUACCAGAAAGGGACGGCUAACUACGUGCCAGCAGCCGCGGUAAUACGUAGGUCCCGAGCGUUGUCCGGAUUUAUUGGGCGUAAAGCGAGCGCAGGCGGUUAGAUAAGUCUGAAGUUAAAGGCUGUGGCUUAACCAUAGUACGCUUUGGAAACUGUUUAACUUGAGUGCAAGAGGGGAGAGUGGAAUUCCAUGUGUAGCGGUGAAAUGCGUAGAUAUAUGGAGGAACACCGGUGGCGAAAGCGGCUCUCUGGCUUGUAACUGACGCUGAGGCUCGAAAGCGUGGGGAGCAAACAGG
RNAcentral lists this ribosomal RNA (763 nucleotides) under uncultured Streptococcus sp. RNAcentral describes it as "bacterial SSU rRNA". It matches the Rfam family "Bacterial small subunit ribosomal RNA", at positions 28 to 776 of the family's 1533-position model. The record is from RNAcentral. Lineage: Bacteria; Bacillati; Bacillota; Bacilli; Lactobacillales; Streptococcaceae.